Ribosomal RNA from Homo sapiens (human), 106 nucleotides. The record is from Rfam. NCBI's taxonomy places the organism in Eukaryota, Metazoa, Chordata, Mammalia, Primates, Hominidae.
GUCUACCGCCAUACCACCCUGAAUGAACCCGAUCUUGUCUGAUCUCAGAAGCUAAGCAGGGUCAGACCCUGUUAGUUCUUGGAUGGGAGAUGGGGCCACCCAGAUA